AACGUAGGACACAAGCGUUAUCCGGAAUUAUUGGGCGUAAAGAGCUCGUAGGCGGUUUGUCGCGUCUGCUGUGAAAACUCGGGGCCCAACUCCGAGCUUGCAGUGGGUACGGGCAGACUAGAGUGCGGUAGGGGAGACUGGAAUUCCUGGUGUAGCGGUGGAAUGCGUAGAUAUCGAGAGGAACACCAGUGGCGAAGGCGAGUCCCUGGACAACACCUGACACUGAGGCACGAAAGCUAGGGGAGCAAACAGG
This 253-nucleotide ribosomal RNA is filed under the name uncultured bacterium. RNAcentral describes it as "partial 16S ribosomal RNA". It matches the Rfam family "Bacterial small subunit ribosomal RNA", at positions 524 to 776 of the family's 1533-position model. The record is from RNAcentral.